CUGGACACAGUGUGGUUUCUGGGUCGGUUUUCACAUCAGCUGAUGCUCCAGGUGACGUUUUAGGUUAUUGGGUCGCAGAUUGCUGGCACACUCAUCCUUGUUCUCAAACAUCUUUUAAACUUGUGUGAAGUGACAAGUAGGGGAAGAAGAUGAUUUACUGAAAGAGAAAGAAAAAGAAGUUUCCACUCAACAAGGUGCCAAAGAGGACAUUUAACUCCAAGCUCCACAAUCUGGCAUUGGUCCAUGCAGCUCCAUCUGUCCCUAAAACUGGAAGCCACAGUCAGUUUCUCUUCUCUUCAUCCACGUGUUUACUGAGAUGAGUAGUUUCUCUACAGACAAGCAGAAAACGCACUCCUCUCUGUUUAGGCUGAAUCCCAUCACUCCACUGAGAGAAAACCUCUGAGGG
RNAcentral lists this long non-coding RNA (406 nucleotides) under Camelus dromedarius (Arabian camel). RNAcentral describes it as "lncRNA (ENSCDRG00005017506.1)". The record is from RNAcentral. Lineage: Eukaryota; Metazoa; Chordata; Mammalia; Artiodactyla; Camelidae.